UGGGGAAUAUUGCACAAUGGGCGCAAGCCUGAUGCAGCCAUGCCGCGUGUGUGAAGAAGGCCUUCGGGUUGUAAAGCACUUUCAGCGGGGAGGAAGGCGAUAAGGUUAAUAACCUCAUCGAUUGACGUUACCCGCAGAAGAAGCACCGGCUAACUCCGUGCCAGCAGCCGCGGUAAUACGGAGGGUGCAAGCGUUAAUCGGAAUUACUGGGCGUAAAGCGCACGCAGGCGGUCUGUCAAGUCGGAUGUGAAAUCCCCGGGCUCAACCUGGGAACUGCAUUCGAAACUGGCAGGCUAGAGUCUUGUAGAGGGGGGUAGAAUUCCAGGUGUAGCGGUGAAAGGCGUAGAGAUCUGGAGGAAUACCGGUGGCGAAGGCGGCCCCCUGGACAAAGACUGACGCUCAGGUGCGAAAGCGUGGGGAGCAAACAGG
Molecule: ribosomal RNA, 429 nt
Filed under: Chloroflexota bacterium
Lineage: Bacteria; Bacillati; Chloroflexota
Description: Chloroflexi bacterium partial 16S ribosomal RNA
Rfam family: Bacterial small subunit ribosomal RNA
Source: RNAcentral